RNAcentral lists this long non-coding RNA (352 nucleotides) under Capra hircus (goat). Its description in RNAcentral is "lncRNA (ENSCHIG00010019561.1)". The record is from RNAcentral. Lineage: Eukaryota; Metazoa; Chordata; Mammalia; Artiodactyla; Bovidae.
GGCUGGAGCCCGCAGGUGCCCGGCGCGGCCCGUGCCUGGAGUGGAUGCGCAGUGGCUCCACGUGGAGCAGCCUUACUCGAAGAAUACCCCCAGGAUCUCUCCUUGCCGUGGGAAUAAUCCAGAUCACCUUUCCUGGAAGUCAGUUUGCUGAAACUACUGAAGCAGCAGUUCCUGGAAGUUGAAGAAAAGGUAAAUAGAAGCAAAUUCGUGUCUGCUAAAGUCCCCUUAAGAGGGAAACCCAUGUUUGGAGGGCCCCUAUUGUUUCUCAGACAUCUCUGUAUGUAAUAUUUUACCUUCCUCUGCCUGGCCACACCCUAGUUUACCUUCGCCAAUGGCUGCCAUCUUAGAAAUG